Molecule: transfer RNA, 69 nt
Filed under: Tropiocolotes steudneri
Lineage: Eukaryota; Metazoa; Chordata; Lepidosauria; Squamata; Gekkonidae
Description: tRNA-Thr
Rfam family: tRNA
About the family: Transfer RNA (tRNA) molecules are approximately 80 nucleotides in length. Their secondary structure includes four short double-helical elements and three loops (D, anti-codon, and T loops). Further hydrogen bonds mediate the characteristic L-shaped molecular structure. tRNAs have two regions of fundamental functional importance: the anti-codon, which is responsible for specific mRNA codon recognition, and the 3' end, to which the tRNAs corresponding amino acid is attached (by aminoacyl-tRNA synthetases). tRNAs cope with the degeneracy of the genetic code in two manners: having more than one tRNA (with a specific anti-codon) for a particular amino acid; and 'wobble' base-pairing, i.e. permitting non-standard base-pairing at the 3rd anti-codon position.
Source: RNAcentral
GCCCUAGUAGCUUAGCAUACAGAAAGCAUUGGCCUUGUAAACCAAAGACGGACGUUGAUCCCUAGAGCA